Molecule: ribosomal RNA, 492 nt
Filed under: uncultured bacterium
Lineage: Bacteria
Description: partial 16S ribosomal RNA
Rfam family: Bacterial small subunit ribosomal RNA
Source: RNAcentral
AGUGAACGCUGGCGGUAGGCCUAACACAUGCAAGUCGAACGGCAGCACAGUAAGAGCUUGCUCUUACGGGUGGCGAGUGGCGGACGGGUGAGGAAUACAUCGGAAUCUACUUUUUCGUGGGGGAUAACGUAGGGAAACUUACGCUAAUACCGCAUACGACCUACGGGUGAAAGCAGGGGAUCUUCGGACCUUGCGCGAUUGAAUGAGCCGAUGUCGGAUUAGCUAGUUGGCGGGGUAAAGGCCCACCAAGGCGACGAUCCGUAGCUGGUCUGAGAGGAUGAGCAGCAACACGGAAACUGAGACACGUUCCAGACUCCUAGGGAAGGCACCAGUGGGGAAUAUUGGACAAGGGGCGCAGGCCUGACCCAGCCAUACCGGGGGGGGGAAAAAGGCCUUCGGUUUGUAAAGCCUUUUUGUGGGAAAAGAAAAGCAGCGGGUUAAUACCCCGCUGUUCUGAGGGUACCAAAAGAAAAAGCCCCGGCUAACUUCGUG